Non-coding RNA from Dentipellis sp. KUC8613, 95 nucleotides. Lineage: Eukaryota; Fungi; Basidiomycota; Agaricomycetes; Russulales; Hericiaceae. The record is from the annotation of a GenBank genome assembly.
GGCCUGGUGGUCUAGUAGUAUGAUUCCUUCUUAGGGUCUUUCCAAACGGAAAGGUGAUUUGGAGGAGGUCCCGGGUUCAAUUCCCGGCCAGGCCC